GGCGGUCUGUCAAGUCGGAUGUGAAAUCCCCGGGCUCAACCUGGGAACUGCAUUCGAAACUGGCAGGCUAGAGUCUUGUAGAGGGGGGUAGAAUUCCAGGUGUAGCGGUGAAAUGCGUAGAGAUCUGGAGGAAUACCGGUGGCGAAGGCGGCCCCCUGGACAAAGACUGACGCUCAGGUGCGAAAGCGUGGGGAGCAAACAGGAUUAGAUACCCUGGUAGUCCACGCCGUAAACGAUGUCGACUUGGA
RNAcentral lists this ribosomal RNA (248 nucleotides) under Pantoea agglomerans. Its description in RNAcentral is "partial 16S ribosomal RNA". It matches the Rfam family "Bacterial small subunit ribosomal RNA", at positions 574 to 821 of the family's 1533-position model. The record is from RNAcentral. Lineage: Bacteria; Pseudomonadati; Pseudomonadota; Gammaproteobacteria; Enterobacterales; Erwiniaceae.